GAUUUCUGGUUUAAUGCACCUGGCCCGCGGCCACUAGGCUUGUGAGUGCCGGCGCGCGUUUACCAUCCUUCUAGAAAACGAUUCUGCCAUUAAUUUGGUGGGGCCGCGAUCUAGAACAUUUACUUUGAAAAAAUUAGAGUGUUUAAAGCAGGCGGAAAGUCAUAAAUACAUUAGCAUGGAAUAAUAAUCUAGGACUUCGGUUCUAUUUUGUUGGUUUCUAUAACUGAAGUAAUGAUUGAUAGGGACAGUUGGGGGUGCUAGUAUUGGCCGGCCAGAGGUGAAAUUCUUGGAUUCGGUCAAGACUAACUUAUGCGAAAGCAUU
RNAcentral lists this ribosomal RNA (322 nucleotides) under Rhogostoma sp. RNAcentral's name for it is "SSU rRNA". The stretch from base 59 to 322 matches the Rfam family "Eukaryotic small subunit ribosomal RNA", at positions 691 to 955 of the family's 1831-position model. The record is from RNAcentral. Lineage: Eukaryota; Cercozoa; Thecofilosea; Cryomonadida; Rhogostomidae.